UACGGGGGGGGUAAGCGUUGUUCGGAAUUACUGGGCGUAAAGGGCUCGUAGGCGGCCAACUAAGUCAGACGUGAAAUCCCUCAGCUUAACUGGGGAACUGCGUCUGAUACUGGAUGGCUUGGAUUCGGGAGAGGAAUGCGGAAUUCCAGGUGUAGCGGUGAAAUGCGUAGAUAUCUGGAGGAACACCGGUGGCGAAGGCGGCAUCCUGGACCAACACUGACGCUGAUGAGCGAAAGCCAGGGGAGCAAACGGG
Molecule: ribosomal RNA, 253 nt
Filed under: uncultured bacterium
Lineage: Bacteria
Description: partial 16S ribosomal RNA
Rfam family: Bacterial small subunit ribosomal RNA
Source: RNAcentral